AGACCCGAAACCCGGUGAUCUAGCCAUGGGCAGGUUGAAGGUUGGGUAACACUAACUGGAGGACCGAACCGACUAAUGUUGAAAAAUUAGCGGAUGACCUGUGGCUGGGGGUGAAAGGCCAAUCAAACCGGGAGAUAGCUGGUUCUCCCCGAAAGCUAUUUAGGUAGCGCCUCGUGAAUUCAUCUCCGGGGGUAGAGCACUGUUUCGGCUAGGGGGCCAUCCCGGCUUACCAACCCGAUGCAAACUGCGAAUACCGGAGAAUGUUAUCACGGGAGACACACGGCGGGUGCUAACGUCCGUCGUGAAGAGGGAAACAACCCAGACCGCCAGCUAAGGUCCCAAAGUCAUGGUUAAGUGGGAAACGAUGUGGGAAGGCCCAGACAGCCAGGAUGUUGGCUUAGAAGCAGCCAUCAUUUAAAGAAAGCGUAAUAGCUCACUGGUCGAGUCGGCCUGCGCGGAAGAUGUAACGGGGCUAAACCAUGCACCGAAGCUGCGGCAGCGACGCUUAUGCGUUGUUGGGUAGGGGAGCGUUCUGUAAGCCUGUGAAGGUGUGUCGUGAGGCAUGCUGGAGGUAUCAGAAGUGCGAAUGCUGACAUAAGUAACGAUAAAGCGGGUGAAAAGCCCGCUCGCCGGAAGACCAAGGGUUCCUGUCCAACGUUAAU
This 662-nucleotide ribosomal RNA is filed under the name Salmonella enterica. Its description in RNAcentral is "partial 23S ribosomal RNA". It matches the Rfam family "Bacterial large subunit ribosomal RNA", at positions 711 to 1369 of the family's 2925-position model. Lineage: Bacteria; Pseudomonadati; Pseudomonadota; Gammaproteobacteria; Enterobacterales; Enterobacteriaceae. The record is from RNAcentral.